Long non-coding RNA from Trachemys scripta elegans, 3613 nucleotides. RefSeq lists it as uncharacterized. The transcript has 3 exons. NCBI's taxonomy places the organism in Eukaryota, Metazoa, Chordata, Testudines, Emydidae. The record is from RefSeq and is a predicted model, not a curated record.
UUAGGGACAGUCUCACUGACCUACUUCACAGCAGGUGGGAGGUCUCCCCUCGUCUGUGGGGGACCGGCCUCUGGUGGUACAUGGGCCACUUGUCUGCGGUCACCUGAGCCUAGGAGAACAUCCCUGACUCCGAAACAAACGAGACACAGUCUAGGGACCCAUGUGCCUGGCAGUGGCCCUUGGCCUCCCUGUGCUCCCCCCACCUGCCCCUGUUGUUGGUGACAUGCCCGGGUGGUCUUCUGGCUUUGUAACACUGAACGGUUUUUGGUGGGACCGCAUCUUCCUGGGUGUGCAGCACCCAGCACGGCGCGGGUUUGGUUCUGAGUUGGGCCCUUAAGCGCUACUGUGUGAAUGCGUAACCCUGAUGGAUCAUUCCAGGCGAAUAAAAUGUCUAGUUCCCCAGGCCUCCUCAUAUACUGAAUAACAAUUGGCUCCACUGACUACUUGCUGCAAAUUUGAAAUGUGUGUUGAUCUCCUGCCUACUCCUCCCAACCAUGACACCUGCUUGUACUAGGUUAUUUUGUUUACCGAUCCUGUAUUGAGUCUAUUGGGUUGCAGGAAUUACCAUACUGGGUGAGACCAGUAGUUUGUCUAGUCUGGUAUCCUGUCUCUGACUGUGGCCAAUACCUGAAGCUUCAGAGAAAAGUGAAAAAACUCAUACAAUGGACAAUUCUGCAGUAACUUUCUCCUAGGGAGGUUUCCUGCUAACUCCAAGCAGUUAGGCCCAGAUCCACAAAGAUAUUUAGGCUCCUAACUUCCAUUGUGGAUCUGGACCUUAGUGACUGGCUUACAUCUUGAAGCAAGAUGCAGGAUUUUAUUCCUUAUAUACCUUUAUCCUAGCUAGUGUAACUGCACAAAAUAAAUCUGGAGCUUCACUGGUCAUUUUUUAUUUGUAGUGUGGUAGUACCUAAAGACCACAGCCCCAUCAUGCUGUAUAAACAUAACAAAGAGACAGUACCUACCCCAAAGAGAUUACAGCUGAAUAAAAGGAGAGAGAAUAGAUGGCUACUUUCUGAUUUUAUAAUUACAUUGUAAGUUCUGCAAAGUAGCCACAAGAUAACAGUGAGAUGAUACUAGUCAGACUACAUAAGCAGCAGUUGCAGCACCCCACCUGCCUAACCAUUAUCAAAUAUUUUGUAGGCAUCAUGGUAUAGGAGAGUUUUAAGAAGGGAUUUGAAGGAGGAAAAUGUGGUGGCUUUGUGGAUAUUUACAGGGAGCUCCUCACAUGGAUAAGGGGUAGCAUGGGAGAAAGCAGAAGAUGCUUGCUGGAAAAUUUUAUAAAUGGGCAUUCAAGACAGACUGACAUCAUUUGCAGAAUAGAGGCAGGGUUCAAUGUCUUGAUACAGUAUAAGAGAUAACAAGUAGGCUUUGAAGGGUCUUAAAAGUGAAGACAAGAAAAUGCUCUUUGCAGUAGCAUUUUGAAUGGCUAUAAAUUGGACAAGGUGGGAUUUGUCAAGACCAGAAAGGAGGAGGUUGGAGUAGUUGGGAUGAGAGAUGAUGAGGGUCUGGAUAAGAGUUUAGCUACAGGAAUGGAGAAGAAAGGCCAGAUUUUAGAGAUAUUCUGGAGGAAGAAACAGCAAAAUACAGCCUGGAUAUGUGGUCCCAGAGAGAGGACUGAUACAAAAGGCGACAAAUGUUUGUGGUUUACCAUAAAGAUAAGAGAUGUGUACUUGGUGAAGACUACAUCGAGUGACUGGCCAUUUUGGUGCAUGGGAAAAUUAAUCCCAGACUGCAGAUCAAAUGAGGAAGUGAGAGCAGAGACGUCGCAAUGCACUGUCCUAAAAUUUUCUCUGUAAACUUUGUCCAUUGGGAGCACAAAUUAAAGAUAAGACAUUGAGUUCACUCUCUUGCUGUGUUAUGCAAUAUGCUUAAUAAAUCUAUGCCAGGACUGUGCCAGUAGGGACAGCUAGGGCAGUUGUCCCAUGCUUUAUGGGAGCCAAGGCCUGGGAAUUUCCAGUGACUGGGACUGUCCAAUGCAGCACCAUGUCUGGUCAUGCCUGACGUAGAUGCUAAGGGAAGUCAGCAGUAGGAAGGUGCUUUGGAAUUAUUAUGGAGACAGUAUAAGGAGCCUGGACCUAGUAAAAGUCUGGGGCCAAAAAAGGGAAUGGCAAAAUAAGAAGCGGAUAUAAAGGAAAUUGAAAGAAAAUCAGGUGGACAAGUGGGAAUCAGUUACAAGUAGUGGGGGGGUGAAAGAAAAAUAAUGGAGAGGGGAGCAGAGGCAAGGGACCUUCUGGGGGGGGUGCAGCUCAGUGUUCAUGAGGUUGUGAGGGUUGAAACUUUAUUUCUAUAUCUAGUUCUGGGUCCUCUGAAUCUUUGCUGAUCCCAUAUCUUGGAGAUCUCUCUGGGACUGCCAUUUUGCAGCCUAAAAGCACUGGCCCAUUUUUGCCAUGUGAAGUAUCAUAUCCGGGUCACACUAGGAAAAAUAAGAAAUGUGAGAGCGGAGACAGAAAACACAGAAGGCUCCUGAAUGAUCCCACCAUGCAUGUUUUUUCAUUGCUGUGGUGACUACCCAUUUGUUUAUACAGUCUAAAAUUAUGGAGAUUCAUUACUUCUUCUCUGUGUGAAGUAUUCUGUUACAUUGUCAGAAAUAUUCUAUUGUGCUCAGUUCUUCUACCACCUCUCAGACUUGUAUAGCAAGGCCCUUAUUCCGGUCUUUGUCAGUCAUGGCAAAAGGACUUAUUGUAUGUAAUGGAAUAUCAAAUCCUUCAGCAUCCAGAUAUAGCGGAAGUGGCACUACAGAUUCACAGACAGGAUCCACCCAACUCCACAGAAAGGGCCUAUAUUGAAUUUAUCUGUAUGCUAUACAUCUGUGAUGUGAGUGAAACUCAUUGUGGCAAAAGAGCUGGAAUGCUUGAUGGUGAAAUAUCUUACAGGUUAUGAGAGUGCCUUCUUCUCCUUAAAGUAUGCUUUGAGUCUUGGAAAGGUAUUCUUCAAGAGAUGGAACACAAACAGCUGGGGUUAUUACACGAAAGAUAUGGCAAGAAUUAAAGAGUUAUAAAUUGGGCUGGGGAAAGCAGGGAGCUGUCGAGGGGGAGGGAAGACUUAAAUAUUAUUUCUCUAACAAAAGUUUUAUAUUCAGUUCUUAAUAUAUUUAGUUCUUAAUUGCUGUGCAAGCAUAGAAGCUUGUGCUUCCUCUCUGCAAAUCAUAAAAGGCCCUGUGUUUGGAAUAUUGCCAUAAAUCCUUGGAGUUUACAUUUUCUUAGGAGUCCUCUGUUUUCUUUUCUCUUCUGCAGCACAAGAUGUCAAAUGCACUCUUCCCUACAAAUAGCUGUGAUGGAGAGAGAAGAAAGAGCAUCAGUAUCUUUCUUGUUCUCUUUGGGAGAAGGGAAGAGGGAAUGGUUUGUGUUAUUCUCUUUUAUUUUGGAUGUCUGUAGAAAAUGAUCUGAGCUGUUCCAGUACAUUCUGUUAAUGAAUGCUGGUAGUGAUCACAAGAGAAGGUUCUUUCGUUUUAGAGAACCAUUAAGAAACCCAAUACAUUACAUUAAGAUUUUCUUAUUUUUUACUUGUACAUGUUGCAGCAUCUGAACUUUUCAACCACCAGUGAUGACCUCCCACACACCCAGGUCUUUGCUGCUUGUGAGUUAUACAAUCAUUUUAACUUUUGGUACAAUAU